UCUCCUUCAACGGCGCUCUCACCGUUCACACUCUCCGACUCUAUCUCUCUCGUUAUCGUUUUCAAAAGAAACCUCUGUCUCUCUCGAUUCAACAGCAAAGAAACGCGGUUGUUAUGCUCUCGCUUGGUCUCUCACGGCGAAUCGACAGAGAUGUAGCAUUGUAAAAGUUAAACAGAAACGAAUGCGCUCUCAUACCCAAUCAACCGGUCUCCAUUGCGAAUCGUAUGACGCAAAACGAUCACGAUUGCGUAUGGAUCAUUCUCGGUCUUUCCUUUUCCUCAAAUCGAAGUGAAACAAAUAUAGUAAAGGCGGAGCAAUGCGAAAGUUGAACAAAGGCGAGUGUGCCCUCACGCCGAAUCGACCGGUAUCCAUUGCGAAUCAAGUGAUGUAAAACGAUCACGAUUGCAUUUGGAUCAUUCUCGGUCUUCAAGUGUAAAAACUGAAUGCAGAAAAAAAAUGAAGCCUCAGCGGUAAAGAGUUCUAGCUUGAAGCCAGUGUCUCUGUUAGCUUUCAUCGGUGGUUAACGUGAAUAUCUAAACAAGGCAUCAGAAAGAAAUAAUAACUACAAACUUAAGGAGAAAACAAGUGAUAAACACGAGAAAAACCUUAUCUUACAGUCAACUCUAAAUCUACUAUGCUGUUUGGUUUUUUUUAUGUCUACAUCAGAACAACAAUAGAAUGAGGCAGCAGCGUGGCAAGGACAUGUCAGCAGACUUCCUUUUGUUGUUUUUUUUUAUGGAUAGCAAAGCCUUGGGCGAGUCAUGAACUUUGGGCCUGCAUAAACAAAAUCCUGCUGAUUUUUAUCUUGCUUGAAUCAUGUAAAUGGGCCUUGUGCUUUAAACAAUUCUCCUGACUUUUCUUUUUGAUUCAAGGUAAACUUCAUGGAGCAUGGUAAAACUUGGGGAAAGAACUUGCUUAAGACAUGAAGGUCAAAUGCUUGAAGACUUGUUGCAAAAGCUAAAAAAAAGGAUUAGAAUCAGAUUUUGUUAUGUAACUUGAAAAGUUUUGUCGCUUUUGGUUUAGAUUUUGGGACUUUACAAAAGCUAUAUAUUCUUUGUAAGUUUAAGGAGUUUCUCUUGUAAAUUCACUAAAGAAACUUUUCUUGUGAAUUUUGUCUUUUGGAUUCUUGAAUCAAAUACUUGCCAUUCUUUUGCAAAUUGACACUCAAUUCCAAAUUCUUUAUGUAAAGAAACGUAAUUUCAUCCAUAAACCAAUGAACAUGACAAAAUAAUUCUUAAAUGGAUGAUUGAAUCAGCAUCUUUGAUAAAUGAAGCCCUUAAUCCUUAAAGGGGUGUUUAGGUUCAACCCUUUGACUAAAUGACUUCCAAUGGAAUGUCUUGAUCAAACGAAGAACUUAUGUCAAUCAAAAUUUCACGAUCUUAUGCACUACAUUCUCUUUUAAGCCAAUCGUCAAAUAUAAU
This is a long non-coding RNA of Vicia villosa (hairy vetch), 1421 nucleotides long. RefSeq lists it as uncharacterized. The transcript is spliced from 3 exons. The record is from RefSeq and is a predicted model, not a curated record. Lineage: Eukaryota; Viridiplantae; Streptophyta; Magnoliopsida; Fabales; Fabaceae.